RNAcentral lists this ribosomal RNA (253 nucleotides) under uncultured bacterium. RNAcentral describes it as "partial 16S ribosomal RNA". It matches the Rfam family "Bacterial small subunit ribosomal RNA", at positions 524 to 776 of the family's 1533-position model. The record is from RNAcentral.
UACGGAGGGGGCUAGCGUUGUUCGGAAUUACUGGGCGUAAAGCGCGCGUAGGCGGCUUUGUAAGUUAGAGGUGAAAGCCCGGAGCUCAACUCCGGAAUUGCCUUUAAGACUGCAUCGCUUGAAUCAUGGAGAGGUGAGUGGAAUUCCGAGUGUAGAGGUGAAAUUCGUAGAUAUUCGGAAGAACACCAGUGGCGAAGGCGACUCACUGGACAUGUAUUGACGCUGAGGCGCGAAAGCGUGGGGAGCAAACAGG